AAUUAUGACUUUUUUUCUCUUGAAUAGCCACACUUUCUCGCAAAGCACUAUAGGAAACCACGAGAUUGAACAGUAGAACAGAGACAGAACGCGGCAGUUUCCUUACCUUUUUAUCGUAAACAGAGCUUUAUAUGCCAUUAACCGACGACAAGGAUGGACGAAUUAAUCUUUUUUCUGAGGGAAAGGAAUAUUCCAGAAACCACCAUAAAAAGGCUGGAGGACGACAAGAUUGAUGUCAGUGUCCUACUGCUAAUGACUGAUGACCAGAUGAGAAGCUAUUUUCCUUCAUAUGGAGACAGACUCGCAGUGAUGGGGUUUUGCAGGAGGCAAGAAAGUGAGCCAACUUGCAGGAAGUCAAAGCUGUUUGAGCGCCUCAAAUCAAAAUUGAGCAAAAGACAAAAAACUGACAGUUCACAAACUGAAACCCAAACAACUAGAAAAAACAAUUCUCAGCGUACUGUAAGAAAAGUUGAGAUUGGGUGGAUGCACUAUGAUGGGCAGGGCUUUGUUCAAAUGAGAGCAAAAAAAGGAGGGGGAACAAGGAAGUUGAGUGUGCCAAAAGACUGGAAAAGGGACGAACUGAUGGAGGAGGCAAUUCGUUUGUUUUUCCCAAAUGGAAAAAAUUCUCAUGGGAGUAUUUCUGAGUUUGAAUUGGAUCUAACAAAUUAUCAGGAAGUGUCACUAGAUAAAGAAAGUACAGUGGGGGAAAUGUAUAAUGCAUCCAAGCUCACAAUGAUGAGGUUCUACCUGACAACAAAAAAGGUGGAGAGGGAAGAGGAAACAGAAAGUGAAGUGGAAAUAUCAGACACAAUGGACGACUUACACAGUAAUAACCAGGAUCAAAGUCUUCCCACUUUUAGCAGAAUGAAUGACUUCUUUCAAGCUUCAGACACGGAUGUAAUUUUUGUGGAAAGUCCAGGCAAUGAUGCUGUAUCUCUCUUGCAUUCCACCGAGGAUCUGAAUGUUGCAGAUGAUGAUCUGAAUGUUCCUUUUCAAAGUUCUUCAAUGACCUUACCAGAUUACUCAGAUACAAGCGAUGUAGUGACAGUAUUCACUGGUGACAUCACUGGGAUAGAUGGACAAAACUUAGAUGACACUUUGCCUCUGAGCCCAGAACCCAUUGUUCCACACAAAAAAAUUCUUGUUGUUCAUCGCGGACAGAUAUUUUCUGAACUUAUUGCACAUUUCUGUGAUGAAACCCUUCCACAUACACAGAGUGAAGUAGAAGUG
This is a long non-coding RNA of Cyprinus carpio carpio, 1230 nucleotides long. The record is from Ensembl. Lineage: Eukaryota; Metazoa; Chordata; Actinopteri; Cypriniformes; Cyprinidae.